GCAGUAGCCGCGGGAAUACGAAGGGUGCAAGCGUUACUCGGAAUUACUGGGCGUAAAGCGUGCGUAGGUGGUGGUUUAAGUCCGUUGUGAAAGCCCUGGGCUCAACCUGGGAAUUGCAGUGGAUACUGGGUCACUAGAGUGUGGUAGAGGAUAGUGGAAUUUCCGGUGUAGCAGUGAAAUGCGUAGAGAUCGGAAGGAACAUCUGUGGCGAAGGCGACUAUCUGGGCCAACACUGACACUGAGGCACGAAAGCGUGGGGAGCAAACAGGAUUAGAUACCCCGUAGUCCCUGUCUCUUAUACA
RNAcentral lists this ribosomal RNA (302 nucleotides) under uncultured bacterium. RNAcentral's name for it is "partial 16S ribosomal RNA". It matches the Rfam family "Bacterial small subunit ribosomal RNA", at positions 508 to 808 of the family's 1533-position model. The record is from RNAcentral.